CCCACGACUAGACGUCAGAGUGUGAUGACCAGAAGAGCACCGCCGGUGCUAACAGAAAGCAUGCAACUGGGAUGUUAUCUCGUAUUGUGCCUGUGCGCCUCGGCCGUUAUCUGCAAGCCACGCAGGCACCGCAGGCCUCAUGGAAACCGAGAUUACCAACUCGCCAGCGCGCACAACGACUUGGUGCUCCGUGAAGCACGCUGCAGAGAACCUCAACCCAGGACAAUCUGUGUGGAUGAGGUCUACCGUAGCGGGAACAAGAGGUAUCUCCCACACUGUACCAUCCUGCAUCGCUGCGCGCCUGACACUGGGUGCUGUGCUACCAAAGAAGAACACUGUCAGCCCAAAAGCAUCCAGGUAGUGGAAAGGCCCUUCAUGGUCCUUGAACUAGACAUCAGUGGCACUCUUCAGACGACAGUCGAAAAGCUUGACUUCGACAACCACACAGAAUGCGAGUGCAGGUUCAAGAAUGACGCCAUUCGAUGAAGCCCCAUUCUCUAGAGCACAACCAAUCGAAACAAUGUCAGGCCUCGCCCAGGCGGCCAUCUUGAGACUUGCGCUACAACGUUCAACCAUCUGCACCGCAUCCCGAAUGUGAUGCUGCCUGUUGCGCCAUCGUACAAUCUGUACAGAACUGCAUUCCAGACUAUAUCAACUUUAAUGGACACAUUCUUAUUUAUUCCGAUCGUAUUUCGCAGGCUAGCUGUUGACUGUGACCUUGCGCGUGGGUCUGACUUGUUUGACUUUAUCCAAGGUAGUGCUGAGUACCCUACUUCCAGUGACUGCUGACCAGCUAUGCCUAAAUAGCGUUAGUUGGCGUAGUGCACAUCGAGCAAAAGCUUGCACUGCGCUGUGCGAGCUUGGAUGAUCCACCGUCGUCUCCCUGACAUGCAGAUGGACCAACUAGUCAUUUACUUGAUCUGUCACCUUUGACAUUCAUCCGUUGUUCCUCAUAUAUUUAUUUUCAUAAUUAAAAUCUGCUCAACCUGA
Long non-coding RNA from Ornithodoros turicata, 990 nucleotides. RefSeq lists it as uncharacterized. The transcript has 2 exons. The record is from RefSeq and is a predicted model, not a curated record. Lineage: Eukaryota; Metazoa; Arthropoda; Arachnida; Ixodida; Argasidae.